Molecule: transfer RNA, 66 nt
Filed under: Loxocorone allax
Lineage: Eukaryota; Metazoa; Entoprocta; Loxosomatidae
Description: tRNA-Ala
Source: RNAcentral
GGUUUUAUACUUUAAUUAAAAGGUCUGAUUUGCAAUUAGAAAAUAAGAUUUUUAUCUUUAAAACCG